UUGAGGUCCAUCAACCUAGUGAGGCCAAGUUUAGAAGACCAUAGUUCUGGGAGCUUCCUUAGUGGAGAAGCUUAUGGAUCAGAUGUGAAUUAUCAGCUACUUCUCCAGUGCUACACCUGCCUGCCUGCCUGAUGCUAGGCUUCCUGCCGUGAUGUUCAUGGACUAACUCUCUGAACUGCUGAAGAAGAGAGCCUGCUGCAUGGCAUUGUCCUGAAGACUCAGAGUCCAUACACCAAGUGCUUAACUUGGUGUAGAGAUUAUGACCCAGAAAGAACAAGCUGUGGAAGGCACAUUUUCUCAGGAUCUCCUACAGAAGGAGGUGCAGGCGGAGAAGAGGAGAGCCAUCUUCAAUCAACCAGUGAUAGCCCCAGGCCAGUGUGGGCUGGGGAGGAUGGAGGUGCCAGACUAGAGCCUGAAAAGGGAACAAGGGCUCCCAAGAGGAGAAAGUAGGAGCCAGUGUGUUACAGUCCAGAGAGGAGCUUGCAUGCAAAUACCAUCAGGAGAUAAACUGCACUGUGGGAAGCGGGCGGAGGUGCCAGAAGGACCUUCGCUAGUGCAGCUGGAGGUAGCUCUUAUUCUGCCUGAGGGGGUCUUAAGUAGACCAAUGGCUGCAGUAUGUGACCAAGGUUCGCAUCCAGUUUUCUUCUGUGCUCCACAGACAGUCCAGUGCCCACGCUCCUCCUGUUCCAAGCAUCACAUCCUCUAGAGCAAGACAAGACCUUAAAGGUCAUCUAGUGCCACUCUUCUUCAUUGGCUGAGAAAUAAAGAGCCACAGAAGUGCUGAGAAGGACCCUAUCCUGCUGGCACUUAUCUCCAAAAUCCUGAGUUCCAGCAGGGAGAGGCAGGAGAGACCAUCCUGGUGGCCCUUGUCACUUGUCUUGGUAUUCAGCCUCCUGAGGGACCUUUUGCAUUCUGUUUCCUCUCAUCGGU
Long non-coding RNA from Psammomys obesus (fat sand rat), 930 nucleotides. RefSeq lists it as uncharacterized. The record is from RefSeq and is a predicted model, not a curated record. The transcript is spliced from 4 exons. NCBI's taxonomy places the organism in Eukaryota, Metazoa, Chordata, Mammalia, Rodentia, Muridae.